Molecule: ribosomal RNA, 402 nt
Filed under: uncultured bacterium
Lineage: Bacteria
Description: bacterial SSU rRNA
Rfam family: Bacterial small subunit ribosomal RNA
Source: RNAcentral
UGGGGAAUCUUGCACAAUGGGGGCAACCCUGAUGCAGCGACGCCGCGUGAGCGAUGAAGCCCUUCGGGGCGUAAAGCUCUUUCGACCGGAACGAUAAUGACGGUACCGGGAGAAGAAGCUGCGGCUAACUACGUGCUAGCAGCCGCGGUAAUACGUAGGCAGCAAGCGUUGUUCGGAGUUACUGGGCGUAAAGAGUGCGUAGGCGGUUUUCUAAGUUCGGUGUGAAAUCUCCCGGCUUAACUGGGAGGGUGCGCCGAAGACUGGGAAGCUGGAGUGUGGGAAAGGCAGGCGGAAUUCCUGGUGUAGCGGUGAAAUGCGUAGAUAUCAGGAGGAACACCGGCGGUGUAGACGGCUUGCUAGACCAUAACUGACGCUGAGGCACGAAAGCGUGGGUAGCAAACA